GACGAACGCUGGCGGCGUGCUUAACACAUGCAAGUGGAGCGACGAACCAGGCUUCGGCCUGGGGCAGAGCCGCGAACGGGUGAGUAACACGUGGGUAACCUGCCUCGAUGACCGGGACAACCCGGGGAAACCGGGCUAAUACCGGAUGUGCUGCCUUCACAUCAGUGGAGACAGGAAAGGAAGCUUCGGCCUCCGCAUCGAGAUGGGCCCGCGGCCCAUUAGCUUGUUGGNGAGGUAAUGGCUCACCAAGGCCGCGAUGGGUAGCUGGUCUGAGAGGACGAUCAGCCACACUGGGACUGAGACACGGCCCAGACUCCUACGGGAGGCAGCAGUGGGGAAUCUUGCGCAAUNCGCGAAAGCGUGACGCAGCAACGCCGCGUGGGGGAA
This 387-nucleotide ribosomal RNA is filed under the name uncultured bacterium. RNAcentral's name for it is "bacterial SSU rRNA". It matches the Rfam family "Bacterial small subunit ribosomal RNA", at positions 28 to 409 of the family's 1533-position model. The record is from RNAcentral.